GCUUAACACAUGCAAGUCGAACGGGAAUUUCGGGGCAACUCGAAUAGUACCGUGGCGCACGGGUGAGUAAUACGUAGGUAACCUACCUCUUACUGGGGAAUAACCCCGGGAAACCGGGGCUAAUUCCGCAUACGCUAGUUUCACUUCGGUGAGAUUAGGAAAGGCGACCUCUUCAUGAAAGUUGUCGGCAAGAGAUGGGCCUGCGCCCGAUUAGCUAGUUGGUAGGGUAAUGGCCUACCAAGGCGACGAUCGGUAGCUGGUCUGAGAGGACGACCAGCCACACUGGCACUGAAAUACGGGCCAGACUCCUACGGGAGGCAGCAGUGGGGAAUAUUGGACAAUGGGGGAAACCCUGAUCCAGCAACGCCGCGUGAGGGAUGAAGGCCUUCGGGUUGUAAACCUCUGUCAGGAGGGACGAAACCGAGGUGGGAGUAAUACCCCAUCUCAUUGACUUAACCUCCAGAGGAAGCACGGCUAACUCUGUGCCAGCAGCCGCGGUAAUACAGAGGGUGCCAGCGUUGUUCGGAAUUACUGGGCGUAAAGCGCGUGCAGGCGGAUAGAGUAGUCGGGUGUGAAAGCCCUUGGCUCAACCAAGGAAUUGCGCCCGAAACCCAUCUAUCUAGAGUCCGGUAGGGGAGCGGGGAAUUUCCCAGUGUAGAGGUGAAAUUCGUAGAUAUCGGGAGGAACACCGGUGGCGAAGGCGCCGCUCUGGGCCGUGACUGACGCUCAUACGCGAAAGCGUGGGUAGCAAACAGGAUUAGAUACCCUGGUAGUCCACGCCGUAAACUAUGGGUACUAGGUGUCGGGGGAAUUGACUCCUUCGGUGCCGCAAGCAAACGCAUUAAGUACCCCGCCUGGGAAGUACGGUCGCAAGAUUAAAACUCAAAGGAAUUGACGGGGACCCGCACAAGCGGUGGAGCAUGUGGUUCAAUUCGACGCAACGCGAAGAACCUUACCUGGGCUUGACAUCCCCGGAACCCGACAGAGAUGUUGGGGUGCCCGCAAGGGAGCCGGGAGACAGGUGCUGCAUGGCUGUCGUCAGCUCGUGCUGUGAAGUGUUGGGUUAAGUCCCGCAACGAGCGCAACCCCUGUCCUUAGUUGCUAGUUUAUCCUUCGGGAUAAAAGCACUCUAGGGAGACUGCCCCGGUUAACGGGGAGGAAGGUGGGGAUGACGUCAAGUCCUCAUGGCCCUUAUGUCCAGGGCUACACACGUGCUACAAUGGCCGGUACAAAGGGUUGCCAAACCGCGAGGUGGAGCUAAUCUCAAAAAACCGGUCUCAGUUCGGAUUGGAGUCUGCAACUCGACUCCAUGAAGCUGGAAUCGCUAGUAAUCACAGAUCAGAACGCUGUGGUGAAUACGUUCCCGGGUCUUGCACACACCGCCCGUCAC
This 1390-nucleotide ribosomal RNA is filed under the name uncultured bacterium. RNAcentral describes it as "bacterial SSU rRNA". It matches the Rfam family "Bacterial small subunit ribosomal RNA", at positions 46 to 1400 of the family's 1533-position model. The record is from RNAcentral.